This 904-nucleotide long non-coding RNA is filed under the name Ursus maritimus (polar bear). RNAcentral's name for it is "lncRNA (ENSUMAG00000014461.1)". Lineage: Eukaryota; Metazoa; Chordata; Mammalia; Carnivora; Ursidae. The record is from RNAcentral.
CCAAAAUGGCCACUCGAGUUCUAAAUUAUGUAUUGUUACAUUGGUCCAAUUAGUUAAAAAUGUGCAUGAGACUGAACUGUAAUUUUUAAGUGUAAAACCCAGACAGAGGAUGCUCCUGAGAAAUUUUAACAGAUUGGGAUACCAUUACUCAAAACCAGAUCUUCAGAAAGCAGAAGAGCACUCACCAGGAAGGACAACGCCUUCAUAAAAAUGACAACAAAAAAACAGAUCCUGAGUAAAGUCAGACCAAAAGCCAACCAGAAGGAGCUUGGAUCUAAGAGGAGACUCCCUGAACCGAAAGGAAAGAGAUGACCCAUGGAAGCAGAGAAACAGCUCAGGAGCUCAUCGUUCGUGGAGUGAGCAGCUGGACUGUUGACAGUCCUUUUACCCACGCUUGGAGAGAGCCUGCUCAAGGCAUGGAGAGCGAGACCAGCUGCAGGGAGAUCAUCUGAGGCUCUGGAUCCAUGUGUGCCCGAAACAGCACACGCACCAGAGCCCCCGACUUGUGAUUGAAUAGUUCUCUUUUCUGCUUAUUCUGUUUGAAUUCAGCUUCCAUCUUUGUCACUGAAAGAGGACUCCAAAAAUAGUUAUAUAUCCCUAGGUUCUGGGUAUACUUCAGUUUCAUAUUUUAUUACUUAUGGAAUAUUUUUGUCUGCUCACUGCUUACUAAUAAUAACAAUAACAAUAAUAGUUCCUAUGCCUGAUCUCUCUGCCAGCCUGGCAAUAAUUAUUAGGUUAAGUAAUUUGUUUAAAGAAUGAGGAGCAGAGGUGGGAUUUAAACUCGAAUUUGUCUGAUUGUACAUCUGUGAGUUUCCUACUACAGCAAAGCUCCUCUUCACCUUGAGGUAAAAAUAUUUUCCAUCUGAAUGCAUCUUUGACAUUACAAUGAAAGUCAGUAAAUAAA